This 460-nucleotide ribosomal RNA is filed under the name uncultured bacterium. Its description in RNAcentral is "partial 16S ribosomal RNA". It matches the Rfam family "Bacterial small subunit ribosomal RNA", at positions 338 to 795 of the family's 1533-position model. The record is from RNAcentral.
CCUACGGGUGGCAGCAGUGAGGAAUAUUGGUCAAUGGCCGUAAGCCUGAACCAGCCAUGUCGCGUGCGGGACGACUGCUCUAUGAGUUGUAAACUUCUUUUGUACCGGGGUAAAGUUCUCUACGAGUGGGUGUUUGCAAGUACGGCAUGAAUAAGGACCGGCUAAUUCCGUGCCAGCAGCCGCGGUAAUACGGAGGAUCCGAGCGUUAUCCGGAUUCAUUGGGUUUAAAGGGAGCGUAGACGGGUUGUCAAGCGAGUUGUGAAAUUUUGGGGCUCAACCGGGACAUUGCAGGGCAGACUGGCGGGCUUGAGUACACGUAAAGUAGGCGGAAUUCGUGGUGUAGCGGUGAAAUGCUUAGAUAUGACGAAGAACCCCGAUUGCGAAGGCAGCUUACUAAAGCGUGACUGACACUGAUGCUCGAAAGCGUGGGUAUCGAACAGGAUUAGAUACCCUAGUAGUC